This 559-nucleotide ribosomal RNA is filed under the name Scotinophara scottii. RNAcentral's name for it is "partial large subunit ribosomal RNA". It matches the Rfam family "Archaeal large subunit ribosomal RNA", at positions 1891 to 2687 of the family's 2987-position model. The record is from RNAcentral. Lineage: Eukaryota; Metazoa; Arthropoda; Insecta; Hemiptera; Pentatomidae.
CCUUUUUUUCAAAACAUGUCUUAAUGUUUAUUUUUAUUAAGUCUAUCCUGCUCAAUGAUUAUUAUUUAAAUUAAAUAGCCGCAGUAUUUUGACUGUGCGAAGGUAGCAUAAUCAUUUGUCUUUUAAUUGAAGGCUUGUAUGAAUGGUUUGAUGAGGGAAUAACUUUCUUUAUAUUAAAUAGUUGAAUUUAAUUUUUAAGUUAAAAAGCUUAGAUUAAUAAAGGGGACGAGAAGACCCUAUAGAAUUUUAUUUUUUAUAUAUUAUUAUGAUACUUUGGUUAUAGUGCUACAUUGUAGUUAUAAAAAGUUUUGUUGGGGCGACAGUGAGAUUUUCAUAACUCUCAUAUAUUAUAAAUUUAUUAAUUAAUAUAUUUAAGAUCCUUUAUUAAGGAUAUUUAGAUUAAAUUACCUUAGGGAUAACAGCGUAAUUUUUUUGGAGAGUUCUUAUCGAUAAAAGAGUUUGCGACCUCGAUGUUGGAUUAAAAUUAGAUUUAAGUGCAGCAGCUUAAUUUCUAGGUCUGUUCGACCUUUAAAAUUUUACAUGAUCAAUUUUCAACCCG